GAUGAACGCUGGCGGCGUGCCUAAUACAUGCAAGUAGAACGCUGAAGGAAGGAGCUUGCUCUUUCCGGAUGAGUUGCGAACGGGUGAGUAACGCGUAGGUAACCUGCCUGGUAGCGGGGGAUAACUAUUGGAAACGAUAGCUAAUACCGCAUAACAGUAGAUGUUGCAUGAUAUCUACUUAAAAGGUGCAAUUGCACCACUACCAGAUGGACCUGCGUUGUAUUAGCUAGUUGGUGAGGUAACGGCUCACCAAGGCGACGAUACAUAGCCGACCUGAGAGGGUGAUCGGCCACACUGGGACUGAGACACGGCCCAGACUCCUACGGGAGGCAGCAGUAGGGAAUCUUCGGCAAUGGACGGAAGUCUGACCGAGCAACGCCGCGUGAGUGAAGAAGGGUUUCGGAUCGUAAAGCUCUGUUGUAAGAGAAGAACGAGUGUGAGAGUGGAAAGUUCACACUGUGACUGUAUCUUACCAGAAAGGGACGGCUAACUACGUG
RNAcentral lists this ribosomal RNA (497 nucleotides) under uncultured bacterium. Its description in RNAcentral is "partial 16S ribosomal RNA". It matches the Rfam family "Bacterial small subunit ribosomal RNA", at positions 28 to 507 of the family's 1533-position model. The record is from RNAcentral.